GAUUAGUAUCCUGAUUAUUGUCUACUUACAGCCCUGCUUCUCUUCACUGGCUGAUGUGCAGACAUUUAUUAGUAAAUCUUCACGGCGGUCUAGGGAGUGACAGCAUCCUCUGGAAUAUUUCAACUACAAAAGGCCUUUGACUGAGCGCUGUUCAUCGAGUCCAGCCCCGGCUUUGCAAAUAAACAGCUGACACCAAGAGAGGAGAAGCAACACGGCUGAGGCCACAGGGUGACAAAGCCUUAACAGCAAGAAGGGGAGAAGGCAGUCAUCUGGAAACGAGGAAGACAGCCCUCACCAGAAACUGACACUGUUGGACCUCGAUCUUGGACUUGCAGCCUCUAGAAUUGCAAGAAAAUAAAUUUAAGCUGUGGACUCU
Molecule: long non-coding RNA, 376 nt
Filed under: Homo sapiens (human)
Lineage: Eukaryota; Metazoa; Chordata; Mammalia; Primates; Hominidae
Description: HSALNT0351908
Source: RNAcentral